GACGAACGCUGGCGGCGUGCUUAACACAUGCAAGUCGAACGCUGAAGCACCAGCUUGCUGGUGUGGAUGAGUGGCGAACGGGUGAGUAAUACGUGAGUAACCUGCCCUUGACUCUGGGAUAAGCCCGGGAAACUGGGUCUAAUACUGGAUGCUACAUGUCACCGCAUGGUGGUGUGUGGAAAGGGUUUACUGGUCUUGGAUGGGCUCACGGCCUAUCAGCUUGUUGGUGAGGUAAUGGCUCACCAAGGCGACGACGGGUAGCCGGCCUGAGAGGGUGACCGGCCACACUGGGACUGAGACACGGCCCAG
This 309-nucleotide ribosomal RNA is filed under the name uncultured bacterium. RNAcentral describes it as "bacterial SSU rRNA". It matches the Rfam family "Bacterial small subunit ribosomal RNA", at positions 28 to 334 of the family's 1533-position model. The record is from RNAcentral. RNAcentral also lists the same sequence under 1 other name.